CUCAGAUUGAACGCUGGCGGCAGGCUUAACACAUGCAAGUCGAACGAUGAAGUCUAGCUUGCUAGACGGAUUAGUGGCGAACGGGUGAGUAAUGCUUAGGAAUCUGCCUAUUAGUGGGGGAUAACGUAGGGAAACUUACGCUAAUACCGCAUACGACCUACGGGUGAAAGGGGGCUUUUAGCUCUCGCUAAUAGAUGAGCCUAAGUCGGAUUAGCUAGUUGGUGGGGUAAAGGCCUACCAAGGCGACGAUCUGUAGCUGGUCUGAGAGGAUGAUCAGCCACACUGGGACUGAGACACGGCCCAGACUCCUACGGGAGGCAGCAGUGGGGAAUAUUGGACAAUGGGCGAAAGCCUGAUCCAGCCAUGCCGCGUGUGUGAAGAAGGCCUUUUGGUUGUAAAGCACUUUAAGUGGGGAGGAAAAGCUUAUGGUUAAUACCCAUAAGCCCUGACGUUACCCACAGAAUAAGCACCGGCUAACUCUGUGCCAGCAGCCGCGGUAAUACAGAGGGUGCAAGCGUUAAUCGGAAUUACUGGGCGUAAAGCGCGCGUAGGUGGUUAUUUAAGUCAGAUGUGAAAGCCCCGGGCUUAACCUGGGAACUGCAUCUGAUACUGGAUAACUAGAGUAGGUGAGAGGGGAGUAGAAUUCCAGGUGUAGCGGUGAAAUGCGUAGAGAUCUGGAGGAAUACCGAUGGCGAAGGCAGCUCCCUGGCAUCAUACUGACACUGAGGUGCGAAAGCGUGGGUAGCAAACAGGAUUAGA
Molecule: ribosomal RNA, 759 nt
Filed under: Moraxella nonliquefaciens
Lineage: Bacteria; Pseudomonadati; Pseudomonadota; Gammaproteobacteria; Moraxellales; Moraxellaceae
Description: bacterial SSU rRNA
Rfam family: Bacterial small subunit ribosomal RNA
Source: RNAcentral